GACGGGCCCCGCACAAGCAGCGGAGCGUGUGGUUUAAUUCGAUGUUACACGAAGAACCUUACCUGGGUUUGACAUGCUAGUGGUAAUGAAGCGAAAGCUAAGUGACCCGCAAGGGAGCUAGCACAGGUGCUGCAUGGCUGUCGUCAGCUCGUGUCGUGAGAUGUUCGGUUAAGUCCGCUAACGAGCGCAACCCUCGCUGUGUGUUACAAGUGUCACACAGGACCGCCGGUCUUAAGCCGGAGGAAGGUGGGGAUGACGUCAAGUCAGCAUGGCCUUUAUGUCCAGGGCUACACACACGCUACAAUGGUCAGCACAAUAGGUAGCCAAGCCGCGAGGUGGAGCCAAUCCUCAAAGCUGGCCUCAGUUCAGAUCGCAGGCUGCAACCCGCCUGCGUGAAGCCGGAGUUGCUAGUAACCGCAGGUCAGCUAUACUGCGGUGAAUACGUUCCCGGGGCUU
This 456-nucleotide ribosomal RNA is filed under the name uncultured Leptolinea sp. RNAcentral describes it as "bacterial SSU rRNA". It matches the Rfam family "Bacterial small subunit ribosomal RNA", at positions 916 to 1381 of the family's 1533-position model. Lineage: Bacteria; Bacillati; Chloroflexota; Anaerolineae; Anaerolineales; Anaerolineaceae. The record is from RNAcentral.